RNAcentral lists this ribosomal RNA (229 nucleotides) under uncultured bacterium. RNAcentral's name for it is "partial 16S ribosomal RNA". It matches the Rfam family "Bacterial small subunit ribosomal RNA", at positions 568 to 796 of the family's 1533-position model. The record is from RNAcentral.
CGUGUAGGCGGACUCGCAAGUCGGUUGUGAAAUCCCUGGGCUCAACCUAGGAACUGCAUCCGAAACUGCUUGUCUUGAGUAAUGGAGAGGGUGGCGGAAUUCCCGGUGUAGAGGUGAAAUUCGUAGAUAUCGGGAGGAACAUCAGUGACGAAGGCGGCCACCUGGACAUUUACUGACGCUGAGACGCGAAAGCGUGGGGAGCAAACAGGAUUAGAUACCCUGGUAGUCC